CGCGGGGUGGAGCAGCCCGGUAGCUCGUCAGGCUCAUAACCUGAAGGCCGCAGGUUCAAAUCCUGCCCCCGCAG
Molecule: transfer RNA, 74 nt
Filed under: Enterobacter cloacae
Lineage: Bacteria; Pseudomonadati; Pseudomonadota; Gammaproteobacteria; Enterobacterales; Enterobacteriaceae
Description: tRNA-Met
Rfam family: tRNA
About the family: Transfer RNA (tRNA) molecules are approximately 80 nucleotides in length. Their secondary structure includes four short double-helical elements and three loops (D, anti-codon, and T loops).
Source: RNAcentral